This 23-nucleotide non-coding RNA is filed under the name Arabidopsis thaliana (thale cress). The record is from RNAcentral. Lineage: Eukaryota; Viridiplantae; Streptophyta; Magnoliopsida; Brassicales; Brassicaceae.
ACAUUGAGACGGCGUGCUUUCAC